Molecule: ribosomal RNA, 405 nt
Filed under: Providencia alcalifaciens
Lineage: Bacteria; Pseudomonadati; Pseudomonadota; Gammaproteobacteria; Enterobacterales; Morganellaceae
Description: bacterial SSU rRNA
Rfam family: Bacterial small subunit ribosomal RNA
Source: RNAcentral
UACGGGGGGCAGCAGUGGGGAAUAUUGCACAAUGGGCGCAAGCCUGAUGCAGCCAUGCCGCGUGUAUGAAGAAGGCCUUAGGGUUGUAAAGUACUUUCAGUUGGGAGGAAGGCGUUGAUGCUAAUAUCAUCAGCGAUUGACGUUACCAACAGAAGAAGCACCGGCUAACUCCGUGCCAGCAGCCGCGGUAAUACGGAGGGUGCAAGCGUUAAUCGGAAUUACUGGGCGUAAAGCGCACGCAGGCGGUUGAUUAAGUUAGAUGUGAAAUCCCCGGGCUUAACCUGGGAAUGGCAUCUAAGACUGGUCAGCUAGAGUCUUGUAGAGGGGGGUAGAAUUCCAUGUGUAGCGGUGAAAUGCGUAGAGAUGUGGAGGAAUACCGGUGGCGAAGGCGGCCCCCUGGACAAA